Molecule: non-coding RNA, 46 nt
Filed under: Trichobilharzia regenti
Lineage: Eukaryota; Metazoa; Platyhelminthes; Trematoda; Strigeidida; Schistosomatidae
Source: RNAcentral
GUACUGAUGAAGAGCCCCAAUCUAGGACGAAACAGCUGUCCAGUAC